RNAcentral lists this ribosomal RNA (446 nucleotides) under uncultured bacterium. RNAcentral describes it as "partial 16S ribosomal RNA". It matches the Rfam family "Bacterial small subunit ribosomal RNA", at positions 338 to 795 of the family's 1533-position model. The record is from RNAcentral.
CCUACGGGUGGCUGCAGUCGAGAAUCAUUCACAAUGGGGGAAACCCUGAUGGUGCGACGCCGCGUGGGGGAAUGAAGGUCUUCGGAUUGUAAACCCCUGUCAUGUGGGAGCAAAUUAAAAAGAUAGUACCACAGGAGGAAGAGCCGGCUAAGUCUGGGUCAGCAGCCGCGGUAAUACAGAGGUCUCAGGCGUUGUUCGGAAUCACUGGGCGUAAAGCGUGCGUAGGUUGUUACGUAAAUCGUGUGUGAAAGGCGCGGACUCAACCCGCGGACGGCACAUGAUACCGCGAGACUAGAGUAAUGGAGGAGGAACCGGAAUGCUCGGUGUAGCAGUGAAAUGCGUAGAUAUCGAGAGGAACACUCGUGGCGAAGGCGGGUUCCUGGACAUUAACUGACGCUGAGGCACGAAGGCCAGGGGAGCGAAAGGGAUUAGAUACCCGUGUAGUC